RNAcentral lists this ribosomal RNA (429 nucleotides) under Acidobacteriota bacterium. RNAcentral's name for it is "Acidobacteria bacterium partial 16S ribosomal RNA". It matches the Rfam family "Bacterial small subunit ribosomal RNA", at positions 355 to 776 of the family's 1533-position model. Lineage: Bacteria; Pseudomonadati; Acidobacteriota. The record is from RNAcentral.
UGGGGAAUUUUGGACAAUGGGGGAAACCCUGAUCCAGCCAUCCCGCGUGUGCGAUGAAGGCCUUCGGGUUGUAAAGCACUUUUGGCAGGAAAGAAACGUCAUGGGUUAAUACCCCGUGAAACUGACGGUACCUGCAGAAUAAGCACCGGCUAACUACGUGCCAGCAGCCGCGGUAAUACGUAGGGUGCAAGCGUUAAUCGGAAUUACUGGGCGUAAAGCGUGCGCAGGCGGUUCGGAAAGAAAGAUGUGAAAUCCCAAAGCUCAACUUUGGAACUGCAUUUUUAACUACCGGGCUAAAGUGUGUCAGAGGGAGGUGGAAUUCCGCGUGUAGCAGUGAAAUGCGUGGAUAUGCGGAGGAACACCGAUGGCGAAGGCAGCCUCCUGGGAUAACACUGACGCUCAUGCACGAAAGCGUGGGGAGCAAACAGG